RNAcentral lists this ribosomal RNA (374 nucleotides) under Nematoda sp. Its description in RNAcentral is "SSU rRNA". It matches the Rfam family "Eukaryotic small subunit ribosomal RNA", at positions 252 to 626 of the family's 1831-position model. The record is from RNAcentral. Lineage: Eukaryota; Metazoa; Nematoda.
CUGAAUAACUACGCUGAUCGCACGGUCUCGAACCGGCGACGCAUCCUUCAAGUGUCUGCCUUAUCAACUGUCGAUGGUAGUUUAUGUGCCUACCAUGGUUGUAACGGGUAACGGAGAAUAAGGGUUCGACUCCGGAGAGGGAGCCUGAGAAACGGCUACCACAUCCAAGGAAGGCAGCAGGCGCGCAAAUUACCCACUCUCAGCACGAGGAGGUAGUGACGAAAAAUAACGAGAUGGAUCUCUAUGAGGCCCGUUAUCGGAAUGAGAACAAUCCAAAUCCUUUAACGAGGAUCUAGCGGAGGGCAAGUCUGGUGCCAGCAGCCGCGGUAAUUCCAGCUCCGCAGGUGUAUAUCUAUGCUGCUGUGGUUAAAAAG